AGAAAUUUCAAGGAGAGAGGAAGGAAUAGAGGGAAAGAAGAAAGAAAGAGAGAAGAGCAAAGAAAAACUUGGAAUUCUGGAAGACUCCCAUUAAUCUGCCCAAAGUUGGGACUCCAACAAAAAAUAUUGGAAGCAAACCCAGCUUAGAUCAAGACUCUGAUUACGAAUUUGUUACAUAACAGCCCGCACACUUAGUGAAACAGAGGAGUAGGAAGAGAAAGAGAGAAAAAUAGAUGAGAAAAGAGAUAGAUUG
This 253-nucleotide unclassified non-coding RNA is filed under the name Hevea brasiliensis (rubber tree). The record is from RNAcentral. Lineage: Eukaryota; Viridiplantae; Streptophyta; Magnoliopsida; Malpighiales; Euphorbiaceae.